GAUCUGUAUGGAUAAUCCCUUGGAAUUUGCAGAGACAGAGCACCUGAGGGAGGGAAGAAGUAAUGAUUGUGCUCUACAGAUUUGGAAGUAGCCUCACCAUUCACAUGGUUGCCAGUACAGCUAAGGCAGCCUGCACGGACCGCUUCUUCAGAGGAAGACAAAGUGACCCAUCAUCUAUAGGACCUUUCAGUCAGGAGAUGUAGACUCUAUUUCCAGUUCUGUUUUAUGACUAUGAGGACGUUGCACAUGCCUUGGCUGUAAUAAGCAGCAACUAUAGCCUGCACAGCACUUUCCAUAACAACACUGGGCUUUCAAUAGCUUGUGACUCUAAAAUCACGCAGACUGAAAUCUUGUAUGAAAUAUAUAUCAGUCACUGAUACAAAUCCUUCAUAGGGAGAAUCCAGCAAAGCAGUUCGCAUGUUCCUAAGAUUAAAGGAGAGAUGUCACUUGCCCAUGUUAUAUUCAUUUUAUAGUUUUUGCUUUGGAAGAUUGCAUUCAUCAGUGCUUUCCUGUUUGGGGAAAUGGGAGAGAAGGGUGGUUUCCUGAUACUAGAGUAGUACAUUCUGCUGAUGCUAGAGGACUUUUGCACGUUGACAACACCUCUGUUUCUGCAUGCUUGGAAGACUUGCUAAAGGUUGAAACUGAAGACUGAAAGAUGUUACCAGGCUACAGGGGCUAAACUAGCCUCUCUCUGAUUGCUUAGAACCCUGCUGUGCUAAUUGGCAUGACAAGGAGACUUGAUCUUAUACUUUUAGUUCUCCCUCCUCUCUUCUUGUUGGCACUCUGGUGGUAUAAGACAGGGACAUUCAAGUCUUGUGACUUGAAGAAAGAGCUGAAACUGGUGGAAAGACAAUGAAACCUGAGAAGAACUGAGGCUGGGGCACAAUGAAAUUUCUGCAGGUAGGUUGCAGUUCUUCUGCAGUGUGAUGGGUUACAUGUAUAUGCAGCUGUCUCUUAAUUUAGGGAUCAGAGUCCAAUUUCUAUUAGCAUGAAGGACCAGGAUAGUGUAGGGCAGUAAACUGCUGCAGUAGAGUUCCCUAAUCUUUGAUGCGGUAACGACUCAGGCAGGAGAGUUCAUGCAGAGAAAGAAAAAGGAAUUUUGCAAGGAAGAAAGUGUUCUCACUGGUAGAUAAGUUCUUAAAACAAGCCCCUGGAAACUCUUUUUUUUUUCUUUUUUUUUCUUUUCUUUUUUUUUAAGAGAAAUAUUAGCCAAAGCUGUUUGGCUCUAGAACUGUCUUAUGUCAUGGAUACAAACAAAUAAACAAUAACUUGAAUUAUUCUCUGCGUACA
Molecule: long non-coding RNA, 1290 nt
Organism: Dromaius novaehollandiae (emu)
Lineage: Eukaryota; Metazoa; Chordata; Aves; Casuariiformes; Dromaiidae
Source: Ensembl